UGUAAGCGUAUACCAAAGUUGUUGCAGUUAAAACGCUCGUAGUCGGAAUUUGGCAGUUCCGGAUGUGUGCACGUCGUGUGCGCACUUCGCGGGGAUUGCUUUUGUGGUCUUGCGUAGGAUGAGGCACUUUUAUUAGUGAACGUCCUCACGCAACCACUUUUUACUGUGAGAAAAUCAGAGUGCUCAAAGCAGGCAUUUGCCGUGAAUGUAUUAGCAUGGAAUAAUAGAAUAGGACUUGGUUCUAUUUUGUUGGUUUGUUGGGACUGAGUAAUGAUUAAGAGGGACAGUUGGGGUCAUUUGUAUUUCGGUGCUAGAGGUGAAAUUCUUAGAUUACCGAAAGACAAACUGCUGCGAAAGCGUCUGCCAAGGAUGUUUUCAUUGA
This 382-nucleotide ribosomal RNA is filed under the name uncultured eukaryote. Its description in RNAcentral is "partial 18S ribosomal RNA". It matches the Rfam family "Eukaryotic small subunit ribosomal RNA", at positions 592 to 976 of the family's 1831-position model. The record is from RNAcentral.